GUUGUAGGUCAACCCCAGUAUCGCGUUGCCAUACCUCCAAAAUCAUGUCGCUGUCAAGCCUCCCUUGGAGGUCUUGAGAAUUUUGUAUUGCAAAAACGGUUUGAAAUGUCUGCUGGCUCCCAGCAGCAUCAAGCAGCAUCAAGUGUGGCCGACAGUCUGCGAUUUAUAUUGAUUGAAAUUGAAAGUGGAUUACGCUGGUACACGUUCUAAACCGCUCUGGUGACAAACACACUUUUUUCUCUUGUCUCCAUUCGUCCACAUGGCUUCUGGCUGCGCUUUGCUACUACUGAAAAAACAUGAAGAUUGUCCAUUAUUUUAUUUUUGUAAGGACCCAAAAAACUGAGGCAGUGGGAGAACCUAUUCAACACUGUCAGUCAUCAUAAUCAUCAGGAGGUGAAAUGCAAAACUGACCUUGGAUCAUAAACUCUGGGACUACGACAUCUCUAUCUGUAUUUCAAAGAGGUUCAGAAGCAGCAGGG
This 479-nucleotide long non-coding RNA is filed under the name Salmo salar (Atlantic salmon). Its description in RNAcentral is "lncRNA (ENSSSAG00000083005.1)". The record is from RNAcentral. Lineage: Eukaryota; Metazoa; Chordata; Actinopteri; Salmoniformes; Salmonidae.